This 501-nucleotide ribosomal RNA is filed under the name uncultured bacterium. RNAcentral's name for it is "partial 16S ribosomal RNA". It matches the Rfam family "Bacterial small subunit ribosomal RNA", at positions 28 to 523 of the family's 1533-position model. The record is from RNAcentral.
GAUGAACGCUAGCGGCAGGCCUAACACAUGCAAGUCGAGGGGCAGCACAGAAACAGCAAUGUUUUGGUGGCGACCGGCGGACGGGUGCGUAACGCGUAUGCAACCUACCUUUAACAGGGGGAUAACGGAGAGAAAUUUCCACUAAUACCCCAUAACAUCGAUCAAGGCAUCUUGAUUGGUUGAAAACUCCGGUGGUUAAAGAUGGGCAUGCGUUGUAUUAGGUAGUUGGUGAGGUAAUGGCUCACCAAGCCUACGAUACAUAGGGGGACUGAGAGGUUAGCCCCCACACUGGUACUGAGACACGGACCAGACUCCUACGGGAGGCAGCAGUGAGGAAUAUUGGUCAAUGGGGGCAACCCUGAACCAGCCAUGCCGCGUGCAGGAAGACGGCUCUAUGAGUUGUAAACUGCUUUUAAACAGGGAUAAAGCACAGUAUGUAUACUGUGUUGAAGGUACUGUAAGAAUAAGGAUCGGCUAACUCCGUGCCAGCCGCCGCCGUAA